ACGGGAGGCAGCAGUGGGGAAUAUUGGACAAUGGAGGAAACUCUGAUCCAGCGACGCCGCGUGAGUGAAGAAGUAUUUCGGUAUGUAAAGCUCUAUCAGCAGGGAAGAUAAUGACGGUACCUGACUAAGAAGCCCCGGCUAACUACGUGCCAGCAGCCGCGGUAAUACGUAGGGGGCAAGCGUUAUCCGGAUUUACUGGGUGUAAAGGGAGCGUAGACGGCUUUGCAAGUCUGAUGUGAAAGCCCGGGGCUUAACCCCGGGACUGCAUUGGAAACUGUAGAGCUUGAGUGCAGGAGAGGUAAGUGGAAUUCCUAGUGUAGCGGUGAAAUGCGUAGAUAUUAGGAGGAACACCAGAGGCGAAGGCGGCUUACUGGACUGUAACUGACGUUGAGGCUCGAAAGCGUGGGGAGCAAACAGGAUUAGAUACCCUGGUA
Molecule: ribosomal RNA, 434 nt
Filed under: uncultured Lachnospiraceae bacterium
Lineage: Bacteria; Bacillati; Bacillota; Clostridia; Lachnospirales; Lachnospiraceae
Description: partial 16S ribosomal RNA
Rfam family: Bacterial small subunit ribosomal RNA
Source: RNAcentral